UUUCACUCUUAAACUGGUGUUGAAAGCUGCUGGUAUGACUUGACAGAAAAAUGUAACCAACAUCUUAGCUAAAACUAAAAGUUAGGAAAUAGCCUCAAAGACUCCUCAAAUAUCUUCUGUAACAGGGUUGGUCUGAAGCGGUUCAUUCUUCAAGAUGUUCUGUGAGUGCUCAACUUUAAAAAUUACUCCAGAGACAAAAUUAUGCCACAUGUUGCAGAAGCAUUAUAAAUACAAAAGCCUGGGGAGUGAAGAAUGCUACACAAAGAACCAAGCAGGAAUUUGACAUUCUGCUAUGUAAAAAGGCUGAAAACCAGCUCUGCACUUCAUCUCAGUACAUGUCCUGCUCUGGAAACAAAGGGAUCAGCUAAGCCUGUGAGUUUAAGAAUUGAUACUCUUUCUCAAUUUUGUAAAGCAAAAUUUGAUUUUAAAAGAAAAAAAGAUUUGUUUUUGUGUGUGUGUGUGUGUGUGUGUUUUUUAAGAGGAAUACUACCAGUAUGGGUUCUUGUGCUUAUGUAGGAGCAAAAAUAGUCUUUAAAAUGCUGAUGUGGUGCCAAAUUUCC
This 560-nucleotide long non-coding RNA is filed under the name Struthio camelus australis. RNAcentral's name for it is "lncRNA (ENSSCUG00000012914.1)". Lineage: Eukaryota; Metazoa; Chordata; Aves; Struthioniformes; Struthionidae. The record is from RNAcentral.